RNAcentral lists this ribosomal RNA (326 nucleotides) under uncultured Comamonas sp. RNAcentral's name for it is "bacterial SSU rRNA". It matches the Rfam family "Bacterial small subunit ribosomal RNA", at positions 385 to 704 of the family's 1533-position model. The record is from RNAcentral. Lineage: Bacteria; Pseudomonadati; Pseudomonadota; Betaproteobacteria; Burkholderiales; Comamonadaceae.
GAUCCAGCAAUGCCGCGUGCGUGAUGAAGGCCCUCGGGUUGUAAACUGCUUUUUGUCGGAACGAAAAGCCUGUAGCUAAUAUCCUCGGGUCAUGACGGUACCGUCAGAAUAAGCACCGCUAACUUACGUGCCAGCAGCCCGGUAAUACGUAGGGGUGCAAGCGUUUAUCGGAAUUUCUGGGGCGUAAAAGCGUGCGCAAGCGGUUUUUGUAAGACAGUUGUGAAAACCCCCGGGCUCACCCUGGGAACUCCAUUGUGACUGCAAGCUAGAUGCGGCAGAGGGGGAUGAAUUUCCCCGUGUACAAUGAAAUGCGUAGAUUUGCGAGG